UUUAUUGGAGAGUUUGAUCCUGGCUCAGGACGAACGCUGGCGGCGUGCCUAAUACAUGCAAGUCGAGCGAGGGUCUUCGGACCCUAGCGGCGGACGGGUGAGUAACACGUAGGCAACCUGCCUCUCAGACUGGGAUAACAUAGGGAAACUUAUGCUAAUACCGGAUAGGUUUUUGGAUCGCAUGAUCCGAAAAGAAAAGGCGGCUUCGGCUGUCACUGGGAGAUGGGCCUGCGGCGCAUUAGCUAGUUGGUGGGGUAACGGCCUACCAAGGCGACGAUGCGUAGCCGACCUGAGAGGGUGACCGGCCACACUGGGACUGAGACACGGCCCAGACUCCUACGGGAGGCAGCAGUAGGGAAUUUUCCACAAUGGACGAAAGUCUGAUGGAGCAACGCCGCGUGAACGAUGAAGGUCUUCGGAU
This 421-nucleotide ribosomal RNA is filed under the name Brevibacillus brevis. RNAcentral's name for it is "bacterial SSU rRNA". It matches the Rfam family "Bacterial small subunit ribosomal RNA", at positions 1 to 423 of the family's 1533-position model. The record is from RNAcentral. Lineage: Bacteria; Bacillati; Bacillota; Bacilli; Caryophanales; Paenibacillaceae.